RNAcentral lists this ribosomal RNA (1372 nucleotides) under uncultured bacterium. RNAcentral's name for it is "bacterial SSU rRNA". It matches the Rfam family "Bacterial small subunit ribosomal RNA", at positions 28 to 1381 of the family's 1533-position model. The record is from RNAcentral.
GAUGAACGCUGGCGGCGUGCCUAAUACAUGCAAGUCGAGCGAACGGACGAGAAGCUUGCUUCUCUGAUGUUAGCGGCGGACGGGUGAGUAACACGUGGAUAACCUACCUAUAAGGCUGGGAUAACUUCGGGAAACCGUAGCUAAUACCGGAUAAUAUUUUGAACCGCAUGGUUCAAAAGUGAAAGACGGUCUUGCUGUCACUUAUAGAUGGAUCCGCGCUGCAUUAGCUAGUUGGUAAGGUAACGGCUUACCAAGGCAACGAUGCAUAGCCGACCUGAGAGGGUGAUCGGCCACACUGGAACUGAGACACGGUCCAGACUCCUACGGGAGGCAGCAGUAGGGAAUCUUCCGCAAUGGGCGAAAGCCUGACGGAGCAACGCCGCGUGAGUGAUGAAGGUCUUCGGAUCGUAAAACUCUGUUAUUAGGGAAGAACAUAUGUGUAAGUAACUGUGCACAUCUUGACGGUACCUAAUCAGAAAGCCACGGCUAACUACGUGCCAGCAGCCGCGGUAAUACGUAGGUGGCAAGCGUUAUCCGGAAUUAUUGGGCGUAAAGCGCGCGUAGGCGGUUUUUUAAGUCUGAUGUGAAAGCCCACGGCUCAACCGUGGAGGGUCAUUGGAAACUGGAAAACUUGAGUGCAGAAGAGGAAAGUGGAAUUCCAUGUGUAGCGGUGAAAUGCGCAGAGAUAUGGAGGAACACCAGUGGCGAAGGCGACUUUCUGGUCUGUAACUGGCGCUGAUGUGCGAAAGCGUGGGGAUCAAACAGGAUUAGAUACCCUGGUAGUCCACGCCGUAAACGAUGAGUGCUAAGUGUUAGGGGGUUUCCGCCCCUUAGUGCUGCAGCUAACGCAUUAAGCACUCCGCCUGGGGAGUACGACCGCAAGGUUGAAACUCAAAGGAAUUGACGGGGACCCGCACAAGCGGUGGAGCAUGUGGUUUAAUUCGAAGCAACGCGAAGAACCUUACCAAAUCUUGACAUCCUUUGACAACUCUAGAGAUAGAGCCUUCCCCUUCGGGGGACAAAGUGACAGGUGGUGCAUGGUUGUCGUCAGCUCGUGUCGUGAGAUGUUGGGUUAAGUCCCGCAACGAGCGCAACCCUUAAGCUUAGUUGCCAUCAUUAAGUUGGGCACUCUAAGUUGACUGCCGGUGACAAACCGGAGGAAGGUGGGGAUGACGUCAAAUCAUCAUGCCCCUUAUGAUUUGGGCUACACACGUGCUACAAUGGACAAUACAAAGGGCAGCGAAACCGCGAGGUCAAGCAAAUCCCAUAAAGUUGUUCUCAGUUCGGAUUGUAGUCUGCAACUCGACCACAUGAAGCUGGAAUCGCUAGUAAUCGUAGAUCAGCAUGCUACGGUGAAUACGUUCCCGGGUCU